CAGAACACAUCAUUUUGGAAUAUUUUGAAAAACAUCUCAUAUAUUUUCAUACCUUGUCUUGUCAAAAGAAUACAACUCUUAAAAACAAACAUUCUGAACGUGACAAAAGUGUGUAGGCAACAUCAAGCCAACCAAAGAUGUCACUCAUCAGGAUCAAGCCUUUUCUCUUUCAUCUUUAUUCUUGUCAGUUAUUGAUGAAAAGGAAAGAAGACAAGAAAAACACGUCUAAAAAGUCUUCCGCAAGACCCGUUGUCAGACAUAACUGAUAAAAGAUUUUACAGAAACCUCAUCUCUCCCCAGGAAAGUAAAUCAAGCCAAGACCAAAAGAGUUGUUCAAGGGCCAUCCACAUAACUGCCACACCAGGAAUCUCCAAUAUGCAGGGAUAAGAUAACACCUGUUCUGUAUCGGGCCCUGGGACAUCCAGCUAUAUACUGAGAUGAAGAAACUGAGGUUGACUUUCACGUGGCCAUGCUGCUCUGAAGUGACACAGAAAACGAAUCGAGGAUGGGGGAAGAGCUCACAGUGGGAUUAUUAGGAGCAGGUUACUACUGCGGACAGCUGGGGCAAAGAGAGGGACUCUGAGGGAGCAGUUACAGAAGCAGGAGGGGAAGCAGAAGGCAGAGUCUCAAGAAGGAGGGUCAAAUAAAUGUCAAAUGUGCAGAAAGGCCAAAUGCAAUUUUUCCAUGUCUGUCUUCCAUUCAGGGCCGAAGGUGAGCUGCCUCCAUUGGACCCAUUUUCUGGACUCUGGAAGAGGCCUAUUUGUGUUCCAUCCUCUGAGCUGACCCUCCUCUCCAUGACGGCUCUCCUCAAACUUCUCCAGCCCCAAGACUUCAAACACCCCCAAAGCCACCUCUGGGUUCCCGCAUGGGCUCUGAGAGGCCAGGGCCAGGCUGAGAAGAGACUGUGAUGUGAAAAUGAAGCAGAGAUCUGAGAGUGCUGACCUUGAAGACUGGAGCCGUGCAGCUACCAGCAGCCACCAGAAGCAGGAAGACGCAGGAAGAGAUUCCCUCCUCCACUGUGGGGUAAGCCCGGCUCUGCCAACCCUUUGAUUUUGGACCAAGUGAUACUGAUUUUGAACUUCAGACCCCCAGAACCAUAGGAAAAUGAGUUUCUGUGCUUUUAAGCCAGGCAUUGGGACUUUAACUGUCAUCCAAACACCACAGGAGUUGAUGAUAAUUUGUUACAGCAGCCUCAAGAAAAUGAAUAUAUGGAUUUUACCAAUACACAUUGGCAGAGGAAGACACAGACACAGAAAAACUAAGUUGGAUAAUUUGUUUAAAGUCACGCAAUUAACAGAAUCUGGAUGAAAACCUGUUUCUAGAUGACUCGGGACUCCAUGCUCUUAGUCCCCACAAACCAGGGUCUUGAGCAGACUUCACUGUGACAUACAGCUCAGCAUGGCGGAAUAGCUGUGUGCAGAGCGGGAACAGAAUAAGGUGAAGUUGAGCAAGGGAGCGGCUGCCUGAAGCUUUAUUCCAUAUGAGACUGAGCAGAUUUGCAAGGCCUGGGCUCUGUGAGAUAAGCAGCAGACUGGACUCGGUACCUACGUGUUAUCGGUUGGGAUCUCCCCAUGUCUUCGGCUCUGGAGGAUAUGGAUGUGAAUCCCCGCUCCGUGACAGAUUUCUGUAAUCCCGUGUGGCCUCAUGUUGGCUCAGAUCUGGAACUCGUCCCUUUUCUCAGUUUACACACACAUGAACUCACAUGUGGAUGUGUGCAUCUAGCAGAUUUCACUGACGGUUUUGGAUAAAUUAA
Mustela erminea (ermine) is the source of this 1753-nucleotide long non-coding RNA. RefSeq lists it as uncharacterized. The transcript has 7 exons. Lineage: Eukaryota; Metazoa; Chordata; Mammalia; Carnivora; Mustelidae. The record is from RefSeq and is a predicted model, not a curated record.